This is a long non-coding RNA of Galeopterus variegatus (Sunda flying lemur), 563 nucleotides long. RefSeq lists it as uncharacterized. Lineage: Eukaryota; Metazoa; Chordata; Mammalia; Dermoptera; Cynocephalidae. The transcript has 2 exons. The record is from RefSeq and is a predicted model, not a curated record.
UCUACAGGAAGAAUGUUUCUUGAACCUAGAGGCUCCUAUAUCAAGAGUUUGUGGGUAUGACACACCAUUUCCUCACAUUUUUGAGCCAUUCUACAUCCCAGACAAAUGGAAGUGUUAUGAUGCCCUUCGAAAAAUGAUCAACUAUUGACCACGUAGAAAAACUGGAAGAUUAUGACUAGAUGCAAAAUUUUCUGAAUUUUUUAUAUUUCCUCAGACUUAUUUCUUCUUGAAGAUAGAGUUUUUAUGAAAUGAACCAUCAUGGAUAUCGGCUGAAAGGUUGUAAAUUAAUUACUACUUUAUUAACAUGCAUGAAUUGGUGAUUUCCAUUAAGACUGUUUCAGAUUAACUUUUUAAAAUGUUGCACAUGGUAGUCUUAUAAAUUCUGUUUAAUUAGAUCUGUAAAUAUUAGAUAUGGGAUAGUAUUCAAUAAAGUAAAAUCAGAUUGUCUUCAGGUUGUAUGUGUCCUUUUGUCUUCAUCAGUAAGAAGAGUUUUUUAUUGCAGAGUAAUAGAUUGUUAACUUGUUAAUUAAAUCUGAAUUAAAGUGAAAUAUUUGCUCUAGAAA